CCUUGUGGUCACUAAGCAGCAGAAAUUGUAGUUGACAAACUAUAUUUUAUAACAAGACAGAGGGGCCUUUCUUCUGAUUAACUGGGUGACCUUGGACAAAUAUUUCUGGCACCAAUCUACAAUACCCUCUUCAAUAAUUUGAGAUGCAAAAUAUCCACCAUCAAACACCACAAAUGGACUUUAUGAGAAUGCACACAUUCACAUUUGGGGGGACACAUGUCCAGUGUUCCUCUGGAUCCUAAUGAAAGACAGAAGUCCUCCAAUUCUGCCAGAGAACAAGUGACAGAUAACAUAGAGCUGUGCUAUUUCCUAGAGAACUCUUGUUCAAUUCUGUCCUGACUCCAAAGAAAGAAGAGCUAGCCACAUCCUCUACUUAGCCCAGCUCCAGUUCUCAACUUGGGGAAGUUAAAAAUUUAACUUCUUGGGAGGAUCUUAAGAAGAGACAGCCAGUGCAGAGGCUGCGGGCAGCCUAGCAACCCAGCGCUCAACCGCUGUGCUACCAGGGGAGGCCCAAGAUUGUGAUGUUUUUGUCAGGAGAGCUUUGACUGCUCCCCGGCCACCUGAGGAGGGUCCCACAUGGCGCGCAGACCUCUCCUGCUGCCUGCUGCUCCCCUCAGCAGUGUACUUCGGUCCUUGGUCCUUCUGCCUGCUCUGCUCCCUGCUCUGGCUCUGGUGAAUUCUCUCACCCUCCCGCACUUUUGACUGUACCCAGUGCUUGUAUAAAAAAAAAAAAAAAAGAACACACUCAUGUCAAAAAAACAGAAAUAUCUUAAAGCAACUAACUCUGAGACAUAAACUAAAUGUGAGGGGACAUGAGUAACUUGUGGUGCUGAACUUGAAUUUCUGCAUAGUGACAUUCUUCUACAACAAAAGGGUAAAAUAUUCACAACAGUAAUGAAUCUAUACAACUACCAGCAGGAAGCUAACUGGAUGAUUGAUUAUCAACACAUGGAGUCAUUUUUCCACUAGCAACAAAUAUUUUUCUUAGUGGCAGAAUAACUGGAUUUCAAAUAUGAUAAUAAC
Talpa occidentalis (Iberian mole) is the source of this 1023-nucleotide long non-coding RNA. RefSeq lists it as uncharacterized. The transcript is spliced from 7 exons. NCBI's taxonomy places the organism in Eukaryota, Metazoa, Chordata, Mammalia, Eulipotyphla, Talpidae. The record is from RefSeq and is a predicted model, not a curated record.